Molecule: ribosomal RNA, 659 nt
Filed under: Lepidoglyphus destructor
Lineage: Eukaryota; Metazoa; Arthropoda; Arachnida; Sarcoptiformes; Glycyphagidae
Description: 12S ribosomal RNA
Source: RNAcentral
UAAUUUGCUUGAAGUUUUUAUUUUAUUAAAGGUUUACUUUAUAGGGCUAAAGAUUAAGGGUUUCUAAUGGUUGGAUUUGUACAAAACUUGUUACAGGGGGUAGGGGAUUAGAUUUGUGCCAGCAUCCGCGGUCAUACUCUUUCUAUAAAAUUUAGUAUUUUCUUAGGAUUUUUGUGUUUUUAUAACUUGGUGGGUGAAAUUUAAAGUUUGUUAAUUGUGUUUCGAAGGUUGUAAUCGGUUGUAGGACUAGGAUUAGAUACCCUAUUACUCUGAGGUUACACUAAAGUAGUAACUGAUGCUCAGCAAACUUAAUUAUUCUGGCGGUUCGUUAUUUUUACAGAGGAGCUUGUAGAUUUAAAUCGAUACCCCUCUUUUAAGUUUACCACUUUUAUUUUUAUGUACGGCUGUUUAGCUUUAAAUUAGAUUUUAUUACCAAAUAUAUUUAUUAUAUGAAUUCAGGUCAAUGUGUAGAGCAUAGAGUGGAGUGUUAUGAGCUACUUAUUUUGGAAAGAUUUUUUGACAUUUUGAAAAUUGGAUUUGUUAGUAAACUUUUUAUAAAAUUUGAAGUUGGUGAAAAUUUUAGCGGAAGCACAUAUCGCCCGUCACUCUUUUGAUAGAUAAGUCGUAACAAAGUAGAAGUACUGGAAGGUGCUUCUUGU